GACGAACGCUGGCGGCGUGCUUAACACAUGCAAGUCGAACGGAAAGGCCCUGCUUUUGUGGGGUGCUCGAGUGGCGAACGGGUGAGUAACACGUGAGUAACCUGCCCUUGACUUUGGGAUAACUUCAGGAAACUGGGGCUAAUACCGGAUAGGAGCUCCUGCUGCAUGGUGGGGGUUGGAAAGUUUCGGCGGUUGGGGAUGGACUCGCGGCUUAUCAGCUUGUUGGUGGGGUAGUGGCUUACCAAGGCUUUGAAGGGUAGCCGGCCUGAGAGGGUGACCGGCCACAUUGGGACUGAGAUACGGCCCAGACUCCUACGGGAGGCAGCGGUGGGGAAUAUUGCACAAUGGGCGGAAGCCUGAUGCAGCAACGCCGCGUGCGGGAUGACGGCCUUCGGGUUGUAAACCGCUUUCGCCUGUGACGAAGCGUGAGUGACGGUAAUGGGUAAAGAAGCACCGGCUAACUACGUG
RNAcentral lists this ribosomal RNA (468 nucleotides) under uncultured bacterium. RNAcentral describes it as "partial 16S ribosomal RNA". It matches the Rfam family "Bacterial small subunit ribosomal RNA", at positions 28 to 507 of the family's 1533-position model. The record is from RNAcentral.